GUAGGUGGCAAGCGUUGUCCGGAAUUAUUGGGCGUAAAGCGCGCGCAGGCGGUUCUUUAAGUCUGAUGUGAAAGCCCACGGCUCAACCGUGGAGGGUCAUUGGAAACUGGAGAACUUGAGUACAGAAGAGGAAAGCGGAAUUCCACGUGUAGCGGUGAAAUGCGUAGAGAUGUGGAGGAACACCAGUGGCGAAGGCGGCUUUCUGGUCUGUAACUGACGCUGAGGCGCGAAAGCGUGGGGAGCAAACAGGGAUUAGAUACCCUGGUAGUCCACGCCGUAAGCGAUGAGUGCUAAGUGUUAGGGGGUUUUCCGCCCCCCUUAGUGCUGCAGCUAACGCAUUAAGCACUCCGCCUGGGAGUACGGCCGCAAGGCUA
RNAcentral lists this ribosomal RNA (374 nucleotides) under uncultured organism. RNAcentral's name for it is "partial 16S ribosomal RNA". It matches the Rfam family "Bacterial small subunit ribosomal RNA", at positions 527 to 896 of the family's 1533-position model. The record is from RNAcentral.